GCCCGCGUAGCUCAGUAGGUAGAGCACUUCCAUGGUAAGGAAGGGGUCAGCAGUUCGAUUCUGCUCGUGGGCUCCA
RNAcentral lists this transfer RNA (76 nucleotides) under Pseudomonadota bacterium. RNAcentral's name for it is "tRNA-Thr". It matches the Rfam family "tRNA". Rfam says of the family: Transfer RNA (tRNA) molecules are approximately 80 nucleotides in length. Their secondary structure includes four short double-helical elements and three loops (D, anti-codon, and T loops). Lineage: Bacteria; Pseudomonadati; Pseudomonadota. RNAcentral also lists the same sequence under 2 other names. The record is from RNAcentral.